Molecule: ribosomal RNA, 253 nt
Filed under: uncultured bacterium
Lineage: Bacteria
Description: partial 16S ribosomal RNA
Rfam family: Bacterial small subunit ribosomal RNA
Source: RNAcentral
UACGAAGGGGGCUAGCGUUGCUCGGAAUCACUGGGCGUAAAGCGCACGUAGGCGGAUUGUUAAGUCGGGGGUGAAAUCCUGGAGCUCAACUCCAGAACUGCCUUCGAUACUGGCGAUCUUGAGUCCGGGAGAGGUGAGUGGAACUCCGAGUGUAGAGGUGAAAUUCGUAGAUAUUCGGAAGAACACCAGUGGCGAAGGCGGCUCACUGGCCCGGUACUGACGCUGAGGUGCGAAAGCGUGGGGAGCGAACUGG